Molecule: ribosomal RNA, 422 nt
Filed under: uncultured bacterium
Lineage: Bacteria
Description: bacterial SSU rRNA
Rfam family: Bacterial small subunit ribosomal RNA
Source: RNAcentral
AACGAACGCUGGCGGCAUGCCUAACACAUGCAAGUCGAACGAAGCCUUCGGGCUUAGUGGCGCACGGGUGCGUAACACGUGGGAAUCUGCCCUUCGGUUCGGAAUAACAGUUAGAAAUGACUGCUAAUACCGGAUGAUGACGUAAGUCCAAAGAUUUAUCGCCGAAGGAUGAGCCCGCGUAGGAUUAGGUAGUUGGUAGGGUAAUGGCCUACCAAGCCGACGAUCCUUAGCUGGUCUGAGAGGAUGAUCAGCCACACUGGGACUGAGACACGGCCCAGACUCCUACGGGAGGCAGCAGUGGGAAUAUUGGGACAAUGGGCGAAAGCCUGAUCCAGCAAUGCCGCGUGAGUGAUGAAGGCCUAGGGUGUAAGCUCUUUUACCAGGGAUGAUAAGUAGACAGUACCUGGAGAAUAAGACUCCGG